Molecule: long non-coding RNA, 1101 nt
Organism: Scylla paramamosain (green mud crab)
Lineage: Eukaryota; Metazoa; Arthropoda; Malacostraca; Decapoda; Portunidae
Exons: 3
Source: RefSeq, a predicted model, not a curated record
GAGAGGGGGAGAGGGGGAGAGAGAAAGACAAAGAGACGAAGGUGGGCGACCCUAACGCAGUCCUCCAUUUCAUUUCAAACCGGCGAGCGGGCAGGUGUGGUGUUGCCGCAGGUGUGGACUGCCGGCGACCUGCGUGACAAAGGAAGGUUUGGAACAAAACAAGAAGCAAGAACAAUUAAGAUGAACACUAGCCACACCACAGAACUGUUACUGCUGGCACCACCACCAUCACCACCACCACCACCACCCUGCCAAGUGGACACCCCAGUGUGAGCGGAGCCAUCAACACCAGCCUGAGGACUAAUUGCUUAUGUACCAGAGGAGUGUGACAGUCUACCAAUACCUUGGAAGGAAGGUGAUGGUGAGGAACAGUGAAGAAAGAUGACGGAGCAGAAACAGGCCCACACCAUCCUGGAAUGUGCUGCAAAUAAUCUUGGUUACCGGCAAAGUAAAGAGAUAAAGAGAUAGAUAGAUACAGAGAUAGAUAAUUAUUAGUAAGAGUGAGAUUAAGAUAGAUAGAUAAUUAUUAUUAAGAGUGUUAGUUAGAUAGAUAUAUACAGAGAUAGAUAAUUAUUAGUAAGAGUGAGAUUAAGAGUGAGAUUAAGAUAGAUAAUUAUUAUUAAGAGUGCUAGAUUAUUAUAUUCUUAUUAUAUUAUUUUAUUUGUGUGUGUGGUGUGUGUGUGUGUGUGUUCUCUUUUCAGAAGUGUGUUUGGAAUGCAAGAAAUAUACAAGACCACAGAAGAUUCUAUAGUGGUGGUGGUGGUAGUAGUAGUAGUAAUAGUAGUAGUAGUAGUAGUAGUAGUACUUUAUCAAUAUACAGGGCAUUAUAGAAACAAUGAAUGUAGUUAGGGUGGUGGUGGUGGUGGUGGUGGUGGUGGUGGUGGUGGUAAUUUUCUACUACUGGCUCUAACAAAUAUACUAACAUAAUAACAAAUAUACUAACAUAAAUAUUUAUUAUUUUUCUUUUACAGCUUAUUUGAUUUAUUUAAUUAUUUUAUUGGUGGGAGGGAAAAUAAUUUUUUUUGCAAAUUUAUUGAUAAAUUACAUGUUUUAUUUAUAUAUUAAGUUUAUUGAUGUUAUAUUUCGCGGUUUUGUUAAUUU